This 2797-nucleotide long non-coding RNA is filed under the name Nicotiana tabacum (common tobacco). Its description in RNAcentral is "long non-coding RNA (NTAB_LNC000653)". The record is from RNAcentral. Lineage: Eukaryota; Viridiplantae; Streptophyta; Magnoliopsida; Solanales; Solanaceae.
UUUGGUUGAUGUACGCUUUCAAGGUUAACCGAAUUUAUAAUUAAACAUAAAGAUCAAUAUGAUACUUAAAUAAUGAUAUAUUCUAUGUAAUUUUAGUUUAUCGAAAUACUACUUUAAAUUUGAAAAAGAUAUAAGAAAUCUUGGCAUAUGAAUAUGAAAGAAAAAAGAGAUGAUUGACGCAUUUCAAGAACAAGAAAGUGAUAGAAUCUAUUAUUUAAAGUAAAUAAAGAUGAAUGCACUUUCUAAUUCUAUUAAAUAUUAUAUCUCAUGAGAGGAUUUCAAAUAUUUCUAGACAUCCUUUAAACAAAAUUCUAUAUAAAGUCUUAAAAAUAUAUAUAUAAAAAAUUAUAUAUUUAUAUGUCAGUUUGGUUCGGACUUUUUACUCAAUACCAAAUCAAAUUAAAUCAAACGUACUCGAGUUUUUUAAUCGGUUUGAUUUGACUUUUCGGUUUGGUACAGUUUUCCGGUUCGGUUUGUACACCCCUACCGAGAAUAUAGAUAAAAAAACGAGUUGUGUAGUGGAUGACGAGGAAGGUCCAAAAUCUAUAUAAUAACCAUAGGAUGAAAGGAGUUGUUGCCAAAACCAAUUUAUUGUUAGAGAUGGAACAUUCACUAAUGGCCACUCGAAGUUACUUUUUGCUCUUCUCUUCUUUUACUUUUCUUCUCAUUUUGCUUUCAUUCCCUGUGGAGAAAAGCCAUGCUUUGGAAGCAAAAGAAACCAUUGAAUCCCAUUUUCACACUCUCCAACUCACCUCUCUGCUUCCUUCCUCUUCUUGCAACACUGCAACCAAAGGUAAUUAAUUAACUCUCCCUAAAUUAUCAUCAUAAUAUUUACCACUAACUCAAAUAGAUAACGUAAUUCACGUAUGUAGAUUAUAUUUGGUGUGGGUGUGUGAAUAUAGUAUGUCGGCAUAUGUUUGUGUAUUUUUAAUUUGUUUUAUAUUGCUAUCACCAUUUUCAUUUUAAAUCUUCAUCCUUAAUUUUCUUUGGUGGGGUGGGGUGGCCUGAGGUUGAAUGAGUGGAGAAGGGGAGGGGAUUAUUUUGUAUUAUCUGUAUUUAACGUAACAUUUUUUUCUUUUUAGCUCAAAAAGGAAAUCUUUUUAUAUUUAAAAGCACUUCAGUUUAGAUUUUUCAUGUUAUUUUUAAUUAGAUAGAUGGUCUUAUAGUCAUAAAAAUGUCAUAACAUGGUUAAAAAUACAAGUUUAAAUAACACUUUAGGUACAUAUUAAAAGCUUUAUUUAGUUUUUGUCUGUCUUAUAAAAUGAAAUGAACGAAAUAUAUAUUACAUAAACUGCUUUUUUUUUUCCUUUUUAGUUUUGCUUGUUUGUUACUUGGUUGUGUGAUUGGGACGAUGGUGUGGAUUGUGGUGAGAAAAAGCAGGUCAACGAAUUCUUUGAUACUCCUAUUUGCUUUUCAAAAAGUUGUGAGGUGAAAGUAACGCAAUAAUCCACAUGAUUGAACAUAGUGUUUUCACUAUAUAGAAGAACUUUAACAAGAAAAAAGAGAGAAAAAAUGUAACCAUCAGCAUGGUUCGAACUAACAUUACUUUUACCCUAAGAUAUUACAUUUUAUAUUAUUGGGACCAAAGUUUUGUCAGUAUAGAUUUUUAAUGGACCGAAUAAAUGUGAAUUUUCUAACAAAUUUAGGAUAGUAUCCGAAAAAGGUGCAAAAUGAUGAUAAGUUUAAAAUUAAAAUCCUACUGAUGUAAUACCGCUUUAAGAUGAUCUUGCUAUCAUCAGCACUAUACUUUGUACCUGCAUUUCACGUUAGUUUGCAAUUAUUGACGAUGUUUUCAUAUUCGCUAUUUGCUACUUUAUUUCAUUUCUUGUCUCACUUUCAUAUGCAUUUCUAGCUCCAGCCUGUCAUGCAAGUUUCUGGAAAAUUAAUAAUCAAAUUGAAUAUUUUGGUAAAUAAAGUAGAAAAGAGAAAGAAAUUAGAAUAGAGUACUAUAACUCACUAAUAGUGAAGAUUAUAAUAAAAGAAGAAGAAGAAAAGAAUUUGGUGAAGAUUUCUCCAAGCUUGCAACCUAACAACCAGUCAAAUGGAAUCAAUAUUUUUAUGUGCAAUUAGUCAAAGUUAUCACGACUUUCUUAAACUUCUUUAAAAUAUUUUAAAGUACUUAUUAUUGUGACUUAUAAUACCUUUUAUUUUUAAAUAUACAAAUUUUAAUUUCAGAAAACUUGAAAAAUCUCUAUCUAAAUUCACAUAAAAAAAACUAAGUAGUUUGAUUUCAGAAAACAUUCGUAUCAUAUACAUUAAUCUAUCCACCAUAAACACAAAAGCACAACUAUUUUAGCCUAUAGUUCUCAAAACCAAACAUUAUCCUUACGAGUGAGAGACAGCUGUAAAACUUUACUUUGAGGCAAAUGAUUAGAGCUGAAAACCAUUGUCUUGUCUUUAUUUACCAAAUGAUUACUUCAAAAUACUUUGAUUAAUGAAGUAUGACUCGGGUCUACUAAAACUCUUUAAGGGAAAAUUAUUGCUUAUGUUCCCUGAAUUUUCUUUGACCACCUUUUAUAUUUUAAUCUACUAGUUUUAGUGUAUGUGAGUUGCACGUGUGUGCCGCCUCAAUUAAUAUAUAUAUAUAUAUAUAUAUAUAAGAAAAACCAAAUUAUUGAAAAAGAGCAAUUUAUAUCAAAAUUUUGCUUAAGAAAAUAAUUAGUAAAAGAUAAUAAUUUUUUUAUUGAUUUUAAAUUUUAUAUAUGAAAACUUCUAUAUGGUUCAAAUAAUGCAUAUUCGAUAAAUACAAUUGACUUUAAAGUUCUAAAUAAGUAAAUUUUAGGAAAAUUAACACAUG